Molecule: ribosomal RNA, 207 nt
Filed under: uncultured bacterium
Lineage: Bacteria
Description: partial 16S ribosomal RNA
Rfam family: Bacterial small subunit ribosomal RNA
Source: RNAcentral
CGCGUAGGCGGUUAUUUAAGUCGGAUGUGAAAGCCCUGGGCUUAACCUGGGAACUGCAUUCGAUACUGGACGACUAGAGUACGAGAGAGGGAGGUAGAAUUCCACGUGUAGCGGUGAAAUGCGUAGAUAUGUGGAGGAAUACCAGUGGCGAAGGCGGCCCCCUGGCUCGAUACUGACGCUGAGGUGCGAAAGCUAGGGGAGCAAACG